Long non-coding RNA from Dendrobium catenatum, 244 nucleotides. RefSeq lists it as uncharacterized. The record is from RefSeq and is a predicted model, not a curated record. The transcript has 2 exons. NCBI's taxonomy places the organism in Eukaryota, Viridiplantae, Streptophyta, Magnoliopsida, Asparagales, Orchidaceae.
GAUUAAUUUAUGAUUUUGCUGUUCUCAGGUUCGUGAUUAACACCUGCAAGCAAUUAAAAGAGAAGAAGUCAUAUCUAGUAUGGAAUGCAGUUGGUUGUCUUGGAGUUUAUGCUAUGAUGGAUCUUGUGAAAGAGGUGAAUACCAUUCAGCAUUGCGGGGGACAAAAAACUGCAGAUGGAAAGAGAUUCCGUACCGGUGGUGGUAUUUUAUGGAAUAUUUUAAAGAGUCGUGAGCCAAAUGCAUA